Molecule: ribosomal RNA, 537 nt
Filed under: uncultured beta proteobacterium
Lineage: Bacteria; Pseudomonadati; Pseudomonadota; Betaproteobacteria
Description: bacterial SSU rRNA
Source: RNAcentral
CGMGAAAAACCUUACCUACCCUUGACAUGCCAGGAAUCCUGAAGAGAUUUGGGAGUGCUCGAAAGAGAGCCUGGACACAGGUGCUGCAUGGCCGUYGUCAGCUCGUGUCGUGAGAUGWUGGGUUAAGUCCCGCAACGAGCGCAACCCUUGUCAUUAGUUGCUACGAAAGGGCACUCUAAUGAGACUGCCGGUGACAAACCGGAGGAAGGUGGGGAUGACGUCAGGUCAUCAUGGCCCUUAUGGGUAGGGCUACACACGUCAUACAAUGGCCGGGACAGAGGGCUGCCAACCCGCGAGGGGGAGCUAAUCCCAGAAACCCGGUCGUAGUCCGGAUCGUAGUCUGCAACUCGACUGCGUGAAGUCGGAAUCGCUAGUAAUCGCGGAUCAGCUUGCCGCGGUGAAUACGUUCCCGGGUCUUGUACACACCGCCCGUCACACCAUGGGAGCGGGUUCUGCCAGAAGUAGUUAGCCUAACCGCAAGGAGGGCGAUUACCACGGCAGGGUUCGUGACUGGGGUGAAGUCGUAACAAGGUAGCC